This 234-nucleotide ribosomal RNA is filed under the name uncultured bacterium. RNAcentral's name for it is "partial 16S ribosomal RNA". It matches the Rfam family "Bacterial small subunit ribosomal RNA", at positions 524 to 755 of the family's 1533-position model. The record is from RNAcentral.
UACGUAGGGUGCGAGCGUUGUCCGGAAUUAUUGGGCGUAAAGAGCUCGUAGGCGGUCUGUCGCGUCUGCUGUGAAAACUCAGGGCUUAACCCUGAGCUUGCAGUGGGUACGGGCAGACUAGAGUGCGGUAGGGGAGACUGGAAUUCCUGGUGUAGCGGUGAAAUGCGCAGAUAUCAGGAGGAACACCGGUGGCGAAGGCGGGGUCUCUGGGCCGUAACUGACGCUGGAGGAGCG